This is a non-coding RNA of Podarcis lilfordi (Lilford's wall lizard), 317 nucleotides long. The record is from the annotation of a GenBank genome assembly. NCBI's taxonomy places the organism in Eukaryota, Metazoa, Chordata, Lepidosauria, Squamata, Lacertidae.
GGAUGUGAGGGCGAUCUAGUUGCGACAUCUGUCACCCCAUUGAUCGCCAGGGUUGAUUCGGCUGAUCUGGCUGGCUAGGCGGGUGUCCCCUUCCUCCCUCACCGCUCCAUGUGCGUCCCUCCCGAAGCUGCGCACUCGGUGGAAGAGGACGACCAUCCCAGAUAGAAGGAGUGUACCGUUCUUCGGUCAAGGGUAUACGAUAGCUGCGCUCCCCUGCUAGAACCUCCAAACAAGCUCACAAUGAUCUUGGGCCAGCACCGCAACUGAGAGCAAAGGCCAUGCUUCCUGUAUUAGUCACAUGGGGACUGCCACUCAAU